RNAcentral lists this ribosomal RNA (447 nucleotides) under uncultured bacterium. RNAcentral's name for it is "partial 16S ribosomal RNA". It matches the Rfam family "Bacterial small subunit ribosomal RNA", at positions 328 to 792 of the family's 1533-position model. The record is from RNAcentral.
AAGCCAGACUCCUACGGGAGGCAGCAGUGGGGAAUAUUGCACAAUGGGGGGAACCCUGAUGCAGCGACGCCGCGUGGGUGAAGGAGCACCUCGGUGCGUAAAGCCCUAUCGGCAGGGAAGAAACAGACGGUACCUGACUAAGAAGCCCCGGCUAACUACGUGCCAGCAGCCGCGGUAAUACGUAGGGGGCAAGCGUUAUCCGGAUUCACUGGGUGUAAAGGGAGCGUAGACGGCGACGCAAGUCUGGAGUGAAAGCCCGGGGCCCAACCCCGGGACUGCUCUGGAAACUGCGGCGCUGGAGUACGGGAGGGGCAGGCGGAAUUCCUGGUGUAGCGGUGAAAUGCGUAGAUAUCAGGAGGAACACCGGCGGCGAAGGCGGCCUGCUGGACCGUGACUGACGUUGAGGCUCGAGAGCGUGGGGAGCAAACAGGAUUAGAUACCCUGGUA